CAGGCCUAACACAUGCAAGUCGAGGGGUAACAUAGAAAAGCUUGCUUUUCUGAUGACGACCGGCGCACGGGUGCGUAACGCGUAUACAAUCUGCCUUAUACUGGGGUAUAGCCUUUAGAAAUGAAGAUUAAUCCCCCAUAGUCUCUACUUGUGGCAUCACAUAUAGAGUAAAGGUUACGGUAUAAGAUGAGUAUGCGUUCUAUUAGCUAGUAGGUAAGGUAAUGGCUUACCUAGGCAACGAUAGAUAGGGGCCCUGAGAGGGGGAUCCCCCACACUGGUACUGAGACACGGACCAGACUCCUACGGGAGGCAGCAGUGAGGAAUAUUGGACAAUGGAGGCAACUCUGAUCCAGCCAUGCCGCGUGCAGGAAGACUGCCCUAUGGGUUGUAAACUGCUUUUAUACAGGAAGAAACCACUCUACGUGUAGAGUUCUGACGGUACUGUAAGAAUAAGGAUCGGCUAACUCCGUGCCAGCAGCCGCGGUAAUACGGAGGAUCCAAGCGUUAUCCGGAAUCAUUGGGUUUAAAGGGUCCGUAGGUGGAUAAUUAAGUCAGAGGUGAAAUCUUGCAGCUCAACUGUAAAAUUGCCUUUGAUACUGGUUAUCUUGAGUUAUUAUGAAGUAGUUAGAAUAUGUAGUGUAGCGGUGAA
RNAcentral lists this ribosomal RNA (649 nucleotides) under uncultured bacterium. RNAcentral's name for it is "bacterial SSU rRNA". It matches the Rfam family "Bacterial small subunit ribosomal RNA", at positions 43 to 685 of the family's 1533-position model. The record is from RNAcentral.